ACUCCUACGGGAGGCAGCAGUGGGGAAUAUUGCACAAUGGGGGAAACCCUGAUGCAGCGACGCCGCGUGGAGGAAGAAGGUCUUCGGAUUGUAAACUCCUCAGCGAGGAAGAUAAUGACGUAC
RNAcentral lists this ribosomal RNA (123 nucleotides) under uncultured Bacillota bacterium. RNAcentral describes it as "uncultured Firmicutes bacterium partial 16S ribosomal RNA". It matches the Rfam family "Bacterial small subunit ribosomal RNA", at positions 335 to 457 of the family's 1533-position model. The record is from RNAcentral. Lineage: Bacteria; Bacillati; Bacillota.